CCCUUAGACGUUCUGGGCCGCACGCGCGCUACACUGACCAGUGCAACAAGCAUCCGUCCUUGGCCGACAGGCUCGGGCAAUCUUUGAACGCUGGUCGUGAUGGGGAUAGACUUUUGCAAUUUUUGGUCUUCAACGAGGAAUUCCUAGUAAACGCAAGUCAUCAACUUGCAUUGAUUACGUCCCUGCCCUUUGUACACGCCGCCCGUCGCACCUACCGAUUGAAUGGUCCGGUGAAGCCUCCGGAUUGGCGCGCACCUCGGUGCCGCCGAGAAGUUGGCUAAACCUUACCAUUUAGAGGAAGGUGAANUCGUANCA
RNAcentral lists this ribosomal RNA (315 nucleotides) under uncultured eukaryote. RNAcentral's name for it is "partial 18S ribosomal RNA". It matches the Rfam family "Eukaryotic small subunit ribosomal RNA", at positions 1470 to 1796 of the family's 1831-position model. The record is from RNAcentral.